ACUUCCGUUAAUUGAUUAUGACGUGCUUGCACUGAAUGAGAUUUUAACACGAAGUGAGUGGCGGACGGGUGAGUAACACGUGGGUAACCUGCCCAGAAGCAGGGGAUAACACCUGGAAACAGAUGCUAAUACCGUAUAACAGAGAAAACCGCCUGGUUUUCUUUUAAAAGAUGGCUCUGCUAUCACUUCUGGAUGGACCCGCGGCGCAUUAGCUAGUUGGUGAGGUAACGGCUCACCAAGGCGAUGAUGCGUAGCCGACCUGAGAGGGUAAUCGGCCACAUUGGGACUGAGACACGGCCCAGACUCCUACGGGAGGCAGCAGUAGGGAAUCUUCCACAAUGGACGCAAGUCUGAUGGAGCAACGCCGCGUGAGUGAAGAAGGGUUUCGGCUCGUAAAGCUCUGUUGUUAAAGAAGAACGUGGGUGAGAGUAACUGUUCACCCAGUGACGGUAUUUAACCAGAAAGCCACGGCUAACUACGUGCCAGCAGCCGCGGUAAUACGUAGGUGGCAAGCGUUAUCCGGAUUUAUUGGGCGUAAAGCGAGCGCAGGCGGUCUUUUAAGUCUAAUGUGAAAGCCUUCGGCUCAACCGAAGAAGUGCAUUGGAAACUGGGAGACUUGAGUGCAGAAGAGGACAGUGGAACUCCAUGUGUAGCGGUGAAAUGCGUAGAUAUAUGGAAGAACACCAGUGGCGAAGGCGGCUGUCUGGUCUGUAACUGACGCUGAGGCUCGAAAGCAUGGGUAGCGAACAGGAUUAGAUACCCUGGUAGUCCAUGCCGUAAACGAUGAUUACUAAGUGUUGGAGGGUUUCCGCCCUUCAGUGCUGCAGCUAACGCAUUAAGUAAUCCGCCUGGGGAGUACGACCGCAAGGUUGAAACUCAAAAGAAUUGACGGGGGCCCGCACAAGCGGUGGAGCAUGUGGUUUAAUUCGAAGCUACGCGAAGAACCUUACCAGGUCUUGACAUCUUCUGCCAACCUAAGAGAUUAGGCGUUCCCUUCGGGGACAGAAUGACAGGUGGUGCAUGGUUGUCGUCAGCUCGUGUCGUGAGAUGUUGGGUUAAGUCCCGCAACGAGCGCAACCCUUAUUACUAGUUGCCAGCAUUCAGUUGGGCACUCUAGUGAGACUGCCGGUGACAAACCGGAGGAAGGUGGGGACGACGUCAAAUCAUCAUGCCCCUUAUGACCUGGGCUACACACGUGCUACAAUGGAUGGUACAACGAGUCGCGAAACCGCGAGGUUUAGCUAAUCUCUUAAAACCAUUCUCAGUUCGGACUGUAGGCUGCAACUCGCCUACACGAAGUCGGAAUCGCUAGUAAUCGCGGAUCAGCAUGCCGCGGUGAAUACGUUCCCGGGCCUUGUACACACCGCCCGUCACACCAUGAGAGUU
Molecule: ribosomal RNA, 1386 nt
Filed under: Pediococcus acidilactici
Lineage: Bacteria; Bacillati; Bacillota; Bacilli; Lactobacillales; Lactobacillaceae
Description: bacterial SSU rRNA
Rfam family: Bacterial small subunit ribosomal RNA
Source: RNAcentral